Molecule: ribosomal RNA, 1507 nt
Filed under: uncultured bacterium
Lineage: Bacteria
Description: bacterial SSU rRNA
Rfam family: Bacterial small subunit ribosomal RNA
Source: RNAcentral
AGAGUUUGAUCCUGGCUCAGGACGAACGCUGGCGGCGGGCCUAACACAUGCAAGUCGAACGCACUCGACCUUCGGGUCACAUGAGUGAGUGGCGAACGGGUGAGUAACACGUGAGGAACCUGCCCCGAAGACUGGAAUAACCCGAGGAAACUCGGGCUAAUACCGGAUAUCCCCACCAGGUCGCAUGGCCAGGUGAGGAAAUGCUCCGGCGCUUCGGGAGGGUCUCGCGGCCUAUCAGCUAGUUGGUGAGGUAAUGGCUCACCAAGGCAUCGACGGGUAGCUGGUCUGAGAGGAUGAUCAGCCUCACUGGAACUGAGACACGGUCCAGACACCUACGGGUGGCAGCAGUCGAGAAUCAUUCACAAUGGGCGAAAGCCUGAUGGUGCGACGCCGCGUGGGGGAUGAAGGGCUUCGGUUCGUAAACCCCUGUCAUCUGUGAGUAAGACUCCCAAUAAAAGCUUGGGAGGUUGAUAUUAGCAGAAGAGGAAGGGACGGCUAACUCUGUGCCAGCAGCCGCGGUAAUACAGAGGUCCCAAGCGUUGUUCGGAUUUACUGGGCGUAAAGAGUGCGUAGGCGGCUAGAAAAGUUUGGUGUGAAAUCUUCGGGCUUAACCCGGAAACUGCACUGAAAACUAUCUGGCUAGAGGAUCGGAGAGGAGAUUGGAAUUCUCGGUGUAGCAGUGAAAUGCGUAGAUAUCGAGAGGAACACCAGUUGCGAAGGCGGAUCUCUGGACGGUUUCUGACGCUGAGGCACGAAAGCUGGGGUAGCGAAGAGGAUUAGAUACCCUCGUAGUCCCAGCCGUAAACGGUGCACACUUGCUGUGGGCGGAUUCGACUCCGUCCGUGGCGAAGCUAACGCGAUAAGUGUGCCGCCUGGGGAGUACGGUCGCAAGAUUAAAACUCAAAGAAAUUGACGGGGGCCUGCACAAGCGGUGGAGUAUGUGGCUUAAUUCGAUGCAACGCGAAGAACCUUACCUGGCCUUGACAUGUAGUGGACCGGGUGCGAAAUCACCCUUUUCUUCGGAACUGCUACACAGGUGCUGCAUGGCUGUCGUCAGCUCGUGUCGUGAGAUGUUGGGUUAAGUCCCGCAACGAGCGCAACCCUCGUGUUCUGUUGCCACCCGGAGUUAAAUCCGGAGCACUCUGGACAGACUGCCUGGUUUCAACUAGGAGGAAGGUGAGGAUGACGUCAAGUCAGUAUGGCCCUUACGGCCAGGGCUGCACACGUACUACAAUGCCUGAUAUAAUGGGAAGCAAGACCGCGAGGUGGAGCAAAUCCUCAAAAUCAGGCCCAGUUCAGAUUGUAGGCUGCAACUCGCCUACAUGAAGGAGGAAUCGCUAGUAAUGCCGUAUCAGCUACGACGGCGUGAAUACGUUCCCAGGCCUUGUACACACCGCCCGUCACAUCAUGAAAGUCGAUUGUACCCGAAGUCACUGAGUUAACUUGCAAAAGAAACAGGUGCCGAAGGUAUGGUUGGUAAUUGGGAUGAAGUCGUAACAAGGUAACC